RNAcentral lists this ribosomal RNA (450 nucleotides) under uncultured bacterium. RNAcentral describes it as "partial 16S ribosomal RNA". It matches the Rfam family "Bacterial small subunit ribosomal RNA", at positions 338 to 795 of the family's 1533-position model. The record is from RNAcentral.
CCUACGGGUGGCUGCAGUUUCGAAUCAUUCACAAUGGGCGAAAGCCUGAUGGUGCGACGCCGCGUGAGGGAUGAAGGUCUUCGGAUUGUAAACCUCUGUCACUGGGGAAGAAACGCUUUGAGUUAAUAGUUCAAAGCCUGACUUAACCCGGAGAGGAAGCAGUGGCUAACUCUGUGCCAGCAGCCGCGGUAAUCCAGAGACGGCGAGCGUUAUUCGGAUGCACUGGGAGUAAAGGGUGCGCAGGAGGCGUGAAAUCCCGGAGCUUAACUCCGGAACUGCGCCUCAAACUACACGGCUAGAGCAUUGGAGAGGGAAGUGGAAUUCACGGUGUAGCAGUGAAAUGCGUAGAUAUCGUGAGGAACACCAGUGGCGAAGGCGACUUCCUGGACAAUUGCUGACGCUCAGGCACGAAAGCGUGGGGAGCAAAAGGGAUUAGAUACCCGUGUAGUC